This 415-nucleotide unclassified non-coding RNA is filed under the name fungal sp. RNAcentral's name for it is "partial internal transcribed spacer region". Lineage: Eukaryota; Fungi. The record is from RNAcentral.
GAGAACCAAGAUAUCCAUUGUUAACAGUUGUUCGGUUUUUUUACCCAAUGUAUUACAUUGAGCUUCACAUUAAACUGUGGGGUUAUUAGGGGGCAUGGGGACCCUUUGGCAAAGCUCCUGCCCGAGUGUACGGUCUACAGGAAUCGUAGAAGCGCUAUCCUUGCACAAUCAAUGACACUUUCCGACACUGACUGCUUGGGGAAACAUUGCCUAUAGAACUACCGCUCGAUUGUAACUGUUCCAAUGUCGUAACAAGGUUUCCGUAGGUGAACCUGCGGAAGCAUCAUUAACACGUAUCCAAACGUUAAAACCCCCCCCCCGUGAACCUUCAUCCUGCUCUUGUAACCCGCGUAGUUCGCAAUCUCUGAUAAAUCAUAGCCCGGAAAGUUGUAGUGAUUCAGAGACCUCUGGCCUU